UAAGAGGUUGUGUGAGCACACAGAAGGCAGCUGCCUAUAAUUUAAGAGAAGAGAGCUCAGAAUGAAACCUACAUUGCUGGCACCUUGAUCUUGGAUUUCCCAGACUCUAGAACUGAUCACCAGUAAAAAGUUCAAAUAUUUUAAAAGAAGUGGUAUUAGUGGCCAUUCUUGGCUCAUUCCUAAUACCAAAUUGAAAUCAACAUUCCACCAUUAAGUAUAGUUAUAUUUGAAGAAACUUGGGUGCUAACAAUGUAAAGAAGAGUUAUGAGAUCAGCAUCGAGGGGAGGAUAGAAGUCCCAGAUGGGAUGAAUCCACAUAAUAUAGAGUGUUUGUUACUUACCUCUCCUCUCACUGUCUCACUGCCUUGUCUCACUUCUUUCACUGUAAAUAUUUCUUUACAGAUAUUUGUUGAACAAAUUAAUGACAAUAUAGUUAUCCCACAGUGACUAAUUUUUUUCUUUAGCCAUUAGUUUAUGGUUAGUGAUAGACUAAUUGUCUGUUAUUAAAAAAAUAAAAUAAAAAGCUUGAUAGAGAAACAAGGUUUCUUAUUCCUGAUCUCUUACGCUGGCAUUUCUUUUAUUGGCCCCAAAUUAUAUACUGACUGCAGAUAAUUAUGCUAAUUUCCUCAGCUGAUUUCUUAGUAACACAACUCUGGGAAAAUAUUAUAAAACUCUGAGGGAGUUGUCUUGAAAGGGGCAAGAACCAGGCCUAAAUAAAUAAACAUUUUAAAAAUUAGAAGAAUAAAAAGCUCUUUAUUAUUGCUUCCACAUUCUAGAGAAGAGAAUGUGUUCUUUACUCUCUCAGAAUGUUUAAUGACAUGUAUCAUGUGAAUUUUUAAGUGGAUCUUUAAGAUCUUUAAGUCAUUCAUUCAUUCUUUUAUUUAUUUGCAUGCAUACUUUGCUUCAUAGUUAAUGAGUUCUUUAAUUCAAGAUAUGGCAUGCAACCAGUUUCACUGAAAUUUCACAAAGUGGGUGCUUGUAGAAAGUGGUGUCUUUUCACUUCUAAUUAUUUAAAGAGCAAGGUCUUGAAUUUGAUGUUACUUAUUUUAGACAUUAACCCUUGAACUGAUUUUCUAGAUACAAUAGCAAAGAAAUCCCAGGCAUUCUGCAAGUUGAUACAAAGAAAAGCAGAAUAACUACUUCUAAGACUCACAAAGCUGUCAUUGUUCAGACAGUGAAAUAUAUACUUGAAAUCUUAUUUUUUAAAAGGCUUUUUGGAAAAAAAUUCAGAGUCCUUUUAUGGAUGUUCCCUGGUUUUUAUUUUUAAGAAUAAAGUUUAAGACUACUUAUUGCGAAAGACAUUGCCAUGAAUAUAGUAGUUGGUUUACCUAAAGUACAUGCCCUUAAAUGCAAAAUACAAGGCGGUUAUUAUUUAAAGGAGUCAUGAAUCUUCAGUUCUUGGUGUGAUAAAUGUGAAAAAUGAUUGACAGCCAUGAAGAUGAAAAGGGAAAAGCAAAUUUUUACACAAUUCUUUCAAAAUGCCAUCUAAAUGUAGAAAAAAGUAGGCAAAGAUGAUAUGGGUAUAACAGAAUGAUAUGUUAUAUUUAUAUACCAAGAAAGCACUAUUAAAAUAUGCUUCUUUAUCACAUAUGUUUGCUAGUUUGCUUACAGCUAAACAUGGUUUGUCUUAUUUAUAACAUUACUAUGCUAAAAUUUGGCUGAUUCUAGUUAAAAUAUACAUACUGGGAAAUAUUUUUAGUGCUUAUUAGAUUUAUAGAGAUUACUGCUGUGCUAUUCACAGGAAAAUAUUUCAAUAUUGUUCUAAGCCAGUGCUCUCGGAGAAAACUUUAUGUGAUGAUGGAAAUGUUCUCUGUGUUGUGCAAUACAGUGGCCACAAGCCACAUGUGGUUACUGAGCACUUGGAAUGUGGCUAGUACAACUAAAGAAAUGCACUUUAAAAGUUUAUUUAAUUUUAGCUAAUUUAAAUUUCAUAUUAAAUAUCCACACGUGGCUAACAUACUAUACAGCACAUUAUUUCCAUGUAUGUGAGUUAAAACACAUAAACUACUUAGAACAGUAUUUGGCAGAUAAUUAGUACUUAUUAGCUUGCUAUUAAUGUUGCUAUUGUUAUUAAUAUGCUUAAAGUAUAUUUUGGGAAAGAGCAGGUUGGUCACGUGAAUCCAGUUAGCAAUAAGAUAUUGUCUUAAAUAUUUGUGCACUCAAAGUCCUAAGAAUCUGUCAGCACUACUCAUUAGUAUCUGUUCUCCUGACAUCCACCAGCUUAAAAAAAAAAAAUUGUUUUCAAUAGAUUCUCUGUCCAUUGUGAAAUCUGAGAUGUUUUUAUGAUUUAAAGCUGAGUUAUAUAAUUUGUGGACUCCGUAUACUUCCUGUUGUCCCUUCCUCUAUUUUUCUUCUUCCUUUGCCUAUUUUAAAAAUCACAAUGGUGCAAAUUUGGACUUAUAUCAAAAAGU
Long non-coding RNA from Aethalodelphis obliquidens (Pacific white-sided dolphin), 2410 nucleotides. RefSeq lists it as uncharacterized. The transcript is spliced from 3 exons. The record is from RefSeq and is a predicted model, not a curated record. Lineage: Eukaryota; Metazoa; Chordata; Mammalia; Artiodactyla; Delphinidae.